AAAGCGUGCGCAGGCGGUUUGUAAGACUGUCGUGAAAUCCCCGGGCCUCAACCUGGGAAUGGCGAUGGUGACUGCAAGGCUAGAGUUUGGCAGAGGGGGGUAGAAUUCCACGUGUAGCAGUGAAAUGCGUAGAUAUGUGGAGGAACACCGAUGGCGAAGGCAGCCCCCUGGGUCAAAACUGACGCUCAUGCACGAAAGCGUGGGGAGCAAACAGGAUUAGAUACCCUUGU
RNAcentral lists this ribosomal RNA (230 nucleotides) under uncultured bacterium. Its description in RNAcentral is "partial 16S ribosomal RNA". It matches the Rfam family "Bacterial small subunit ribosomal RNA", at positions 562 to 791 of the family's 1533-position model. The record is from RNAcentral.